Molecule: long non-coding RNA, 495 nt
Filed under: Panax ginseng (ginseng)
Lineage: Eukaryota; Viridiplantae; Streptophyta; Magnoliopsida; Apiales; Araliaceae
Description: long non-coding RNA (PGIN_LNC013040)
Source: RNAcentral
CGAUAAAGCUGUCGGUACGCCGACAACUAUCGGACCCUAUAAUAGAAAGAAAAGACUUCUGUAAGAGCAUGGAUGAGAUAUUUGAAAAAUAUAUAAAAAGUAUUGAAUAGAAAGUAUGAUCACUGCAAUUAUGUGAUGACGUGAUUAGACUAUGUGCUGACCGUAACUGACAGUACUAUGUGUUAUGAUAUAUUGUUCUAAUCGGACGAAUGACCUGUUUAUUGAUAGGUUGUGAUAAAGAGAUAAGACCUAAGUUGAGAUUUGUAAUCAGCAAAUCAGGCAAGUAUCUUACCUUUGCAUUUCCUUUAUGCAAUGGACAUGAGUAAGAAGUUUCAGAAUUAUUCUAUUCCUGUACAGAUUAUGUACGCUUUGAUUAUCAACAUGUUAGCUCAGAUAUAUAUUCUGUUAAGUUGAUUUCUAAAUGGUUAUACAAGUGUCCCCACUUGGAUAAUCAUGGCAUUUAUUCACAUGUUGAUAUACCUUUGUCAAUUACCC